UGGGGAAUAUUGGGCAAUGGGCGCAAGCCUGACCCAGCAACGCCGCGUGAGGGAAGAAGGCCUUCGGGUUGUAAACCUCUGUCCUUGGGGACGAAAGAGAUGACGGUACCCAAGGAGGAAGCUCCGGCUAACUACGUGCCAGCAGCCGCGGUAAUACGUAGGGAGCGAGCGUUGUCCGGAAUUACUGGGCGUAAAGGGUGCGUAGGCGGCAUGGCAAGUCAGAUGUGAAAUCCCCGGGCUUAACUCGGGUGCUGCAUUUGAAACUGCUGUGCUUGAGUGCAGGAGAGGAAAGCGGAAUUCCUAGUGUAGCGGUGAAAUGCGUAGAUAUUAGGAGGAACAUCAGUGGCGAAGGCGGCUUUCUGGACUGUAACUGACGCUGAGGCACGAAAGCGUGGGGAGCAAACAG
Molecule: ribosomal RNA, 406 nt
Filed under: uncultured bacterium
Lineage: Bacteria
Description: bacterial SSU rRNA
Rfam family: Bacterial small subunit ribosomal RNA
Source: RNAcentral